Non-coding RNA from Rattus norvegicus (Norway rat), 69 nucleotides. The record is from Rfam. NCBI's taxonomy places the organism in Eukaryota, Metazoa, Chordata, Mammalia, Rodentia, Muridae.
GGGGAUUUAGCUCAGUGGUAGAGCACUUGCCUAGCAAGCACAAGGCCCUGGGUUCAGGCCCCAGCUCCG